GAUGAACGCUGGCGGCGUGCCUAACACAUGCAAGUCGAACGGAAACACAGUAAGAGCGUGCUCUUACGGGUAGCGAGUGGCGGGUGGGUGAGGAGUGCAUCGGAAUCUACUUUGUCGGGGGGGAUAACGGAGGGCAGCAGACGAUAAUAGAGCAUACGUUGUACGGGUGGGAUCAGGGGAUAUUGGGGGCUUGCGUGAUUGAAUGAGACGGUGUCGGCUUUGCUAGGUUGGGGGGUAAAGGCCCACCAAGGCGACGAUCCGUAGCUGGUCUGAGAGGAUGAUCGGCCACACUGGAACUGAGACACGGUCCAGACUCCUACGGGAGGCAGCAGUGGGGAAUAUUCCGCAAUGGGCGAAAGCCUGACCCAGCCACACCGCGUGAGUGAAGAAGGUCUUCGGGUCGUAAAGCUCUUUUGUUAGGAAAGAACAGCAGUAUGUUAAACUCCGGACGUCUUGACGGUACCUAAAGAAUAAGCACCGGCUAACUUCGUG
RNAcentral lists this ribosomal RNA (492 nucleotides) under uncultured bacterium. Its description in RNAcentral is "partial 16S ribosomal RNA". It matches the Rfam family "Bacterial small subunit ribosomal RNA", at positions 28 to 507 of the family's 1533-position model. The record is from RNAcentral.